ACGCUGGCGGCACGCUUAACACAUGCAAGUCGAACGAAGUAGCAAUACUUAGUGGCAGACGGGUGAGUAUAAUGUGGGAAUCUGCCUUUUGGUUUGGAAUAACUCGGGGAAACUUGAGCUAAUACCGGAUAAGCCCUUACGGGGAAAGCUUUAGCGCCAAAAGAUGAGCCCGCACUUGAUUAGCUUGUUGGUGAGGUAAUGGCUCACCAAGGCAAUGAUCAAUAGCUGUUCUUAGAGGAAGACCAGCCACAUUGGGACUGAGACACGGCCCAGACUCCUACGGGAGGCAGCAGUGGGGAAUCUUGCACAAUGGGGGAAACCCUGAUGCAGCGAUGCCGCGUGAGUGAAGAAGGCCUUUGGGUUGUAAAACUCUUUCGUCGGGGAAGAAAAUGACUGUACCCGAAUAAGAAGGUCCGGCUAACUUCGUGCCAGCAGCCGCGGUAAUACGAAGGGACCUAGCGUAGUUCGGAAUUACUGGGCUUAAAGAGCUCGUAGGUGGUUAAAAAAGUUGGUGGUGAAAUCCCAAGGCUUAACCUUGGAACUGCCAUCAAAACUUUUUAGCUAGAGUGUGAUAGAGGAAAGUGGAAUUUCUAGUGUAGAGGUGAAAUUCGUAGAUAUUAGAAAGAACACCAAAAGCGAAGGCAACUUUCUGGGUCACUACUGACACUGAGGAGCGAAAGCAUGGGUAGCGAAGAGGAUUAGAUACCCUCGUAGUCCAUGCUGUAAACGAUGUGUGCUAGACGUUGGGAAUAUAUUUUUCAGUGUCGCAGCGAAAGCAUUAAGCACACCGCCUGGGGAGUACGACCGC
This 808-nucleotide ribosomal RNA is filed under the name uncultured Pelagibacteraceae bacterium. RNAcentral's name for it is "bacterial SSU rRNA". It matches the Rfam family "Bacterial small subunit ribosomal RNA", at positions 33 to 889 of the family's 1533-position model. Lineage: Bacteria; Pseudomonadati; Pseudomonadota; Alphaproteobacteria; Candidatus Pelagibacterales; Candidatus Pelagibacteraceae. The record is from RNAcentral.